GAUGAAGAACGUAGCGAAAUGCGAUAAGUAGUGUGAAUUGCAGAAUUCAGUGAAUCAUCGAAUCUUUGAACGCACAUUGCGCCCCUUGGUAUUCCAUGGGGCAUGCCUGUUCGAGCGUCAUUUGUACCUUCAAGCUCUGCUUGGUGUUGGGUGUUUGUCUCGCCUCUGCGCGUAGACUCGCCUCAAAACAAUUGGCAGCCGGCGUAUUGAUUUCGGAGCGCAGUACAUCUCGCGCCUUGCACUCAUAACGACGACGUCCAAAAGUACAUUUUUACACUCUUGACCUCGGAUCAGGUAGGGAUACCCGCUGAACUUAAGCAUAUCAAUAGCGGAGGA
RNAcentral lists this unclassified non-coding RNA (336 nucleotides) under soil metagenome. RNAcentral's name for it is "partial contains 5.8S ribosomal RNA, internal transcribed spacer 2, and large subunit ribosomal RNA". The stretch from base 1 to 120 matches the Rfam family "5.8S ribosomal RNA", at positions 35 to 154 of the family's 154-position model. The record is from RNAcentral.